CCCGCUGAACUUAAGCAUAUCAAUAAGCGGAGGAAAAGAAACUAACAAGGAUUCCCCUAGUAACUGCGAGUGAAGCGGGAAAAGCUCAAAUUUAAAAUCUGAGGGUCUUACGGCCUUCCGAGUUGUAAUCUAGAGAAGUGCUAUCCGCGCUGGACCGUGUACAAGUCUCCUGGAACGGAGCGUCAUAGAGGGUGAGAAUCCCGUCUUUGACACGGACUACCAGGGCUUUUGUGAUGCGCUCUCAAAGAGUCGAGUUGUUUGGGAAUGCAGCUCUAAAUGGGUGGUAAAUUCCAUCUAAAGCUAAAUAUUGGCGAGAGACCGAUAGCGAACAAGUACCGUGAGGGAAAGAUGAAAAGAACUUUGGAAAGAGAGUUAAACAGUACGUGAAAUUGUUGAAAGGGAAACGCUUGAAGUCAGUCGCGUUGGCCAGGAAUCAACCUUGCUUUUGCUUGGCGUACUUUCUGGUUAACGGGUCAGCAUCAAUUUUGAUCGGUGGAUAAAGAUCAGGGGAAUGUGGCAUCUUCGGAUGUGUUAUAGCCUCUGGUCGCAUACAUCGGUUGGGAUUGAGGAACUCAGCAUGCCGCAAGGCCGGGUUUUUACCACGUACGUGCUUAGGAUGCUGGCAUAAUGGCUUUAAUCGACCCGUCUUGAAACACGG
Molecule: ribosomal RNA, 658 nt
Filed under: uncultured fungus
Lineage: Eukaryota; Fungi
Description: eukaryotic LSU rRNA
Rfam family: Eukaryotic large subunit ribosomal RNA
Source: RNAcentral